CCAUACCAAUUUCAUAUCAUUCAGCAAAUAAAAUAAUAUUUCCCGAAAGUCUUAUCACAAAAUCGAGAAAGUUGAGUCAAUACUGGCUGUAACAUUUUUCAAUCUUUGCCCCGAGCGUUGGCGAAAUUAUUAAUAAACUUAUCUCAAUUAUUCCGAGAUAGUUCAGUAAUAACAAAACUUGCUUCAAUAUGAACGAUCAAUAUCUAUCUUGCGGCUUAAAUCUGCGAUAGUUUGAAUUUUCUCUCGUCUAACCUAUAUAAUACUUGUAAUCAGUUAUUUAAAUCGGCUUAUGUCUGUGCUCAUAAUGUCUUUAAUGUCUUAGAAGUUUUUCUUCGUCGAUCAAAUAGCUCGUUAAUGUUUGUGGUUUGCUCACGUAAUUGAAAGUACGUAAAUGUAAACGUAAAUUUUUUAAAGUAGAAUAUUAAUAAAAAAUUUAUAUACAUAUACAUAUACAAGUAUAUAUAUAAUAUAAUAACAAUAUAACAUAUAUAAUAUAAUAAAUUAGUUAAUCUCUCUUGAAGAGGGUUUAUUUCCGAAUUAAAAUUCGCGGUUGCACUUGCGCGCUAUCUUCAAUCGGCGAAUUAUAACAUAUGAGUUAUUCCAUCUAUGUAUAAUCAAUGAUAUGUGUUCCAUGCAUUUUGUGACGGUAAGGUUAGUGAUAAAGGGGAAAAUUUUUUUUUCAUUGUUUGUAUAUAUAUAUAUCGAUUGAAAUGAUAAACAUAUCGCGAAUGUGUUGGUAUCAAUCACAGUGAAACAACCGUGAUGAUAGGUUUUACUAUCAUCGCGUAUUUUUACGACACGUUACGCAAUCGCACGUGACAGAAACGCUUUGGCCAAGUGUUGUCGAACGUUUUCGCCAAAUAAGUGCCUCUUGACUGCAAUUGGGGAUCGUCAUAAAUCCAUCUGGCGAAAUGGCAGAAGAAGCGGAGAACGUCAAUCAGGAUUCUGACGUGGAUG
This is a long non-coding RNA of Formica exsecta, 957 nucleotides long. RefSeq lists it as uncharacterized. The transcript is spliced from 2 exons. The record is from RefSeq and is a predicted model, not a curated record. NCBI's taxonomy places the organism in Eukaryota, Metazoa, Arthropoda, Insecta, Hymenoptera, Formicidae.